CCUACGGGAGGCAGCAGUGGGGAAUCUUGCGCAAUGGGCGAAAGCCUGACGCAGCCAUGCCGCGUGAAUGAUGAAGGUCUUAGGAUUGUAAAAUUCUUUCACCGAGGACGAUAAUGACGGUACUCGGAGAAGAAGCCCCGGCUAACUUCGUGCCAGCAGCCGCGGUAAUACGAAGGGGGCUAGCGUUGCUCGGAAUUACUGGGCGUAAAGGGAGCGUAGGCGGAUAGUUUAGUCAGAGGUGAAAGCCCAGGGCUCAACCUUGGAAUUGCCUUUGAUACUGGCUAUCUUGAGUACGGAAGAGGUAUGUGGAACUCCGAGUGUAGAGGUGAAAUUCGUAGAUAUUCGGAAGAACACCAGUGGCGAAGGCGACAUACUGGUCCGUUACUGACGCUGAGGCUCGAAAGCGUGGGGAGCAAACAGGAUUAGAUACCCUGGUAGUCCACGCUGUAAACGAUGAGUGCUAGUUGUCGGCAUGCAUGCAUGUCGUGACGCAGCUACGACAUAAGACACUCCGCCGUCGGGAGGUACGGUCGCGAGAAGUAAACUACGAAGAAGUAGACGGCGUGAGACGUGCCGACGGACGACGACGAGGGAGGAGG
Molecule: ribosomal RNA, 599 nt
Filed under: uncultured bacterium
Lineage: Bacteria
Description: bacterial SSU rRNA
Rfam family: Bacterial small subunit ribosomal RNA (bases 1-516)
Source: RNAcentral